This 217-nucleotide long non-coding RNA is filed under the name Carica papaya (papaya). Its description in RNAcentral is "long non-coding RNA (CPAP_LNC006167)". Lineage: Eukaryota; Viridiplantae; Streptophyta; Magnoliopsida; Brassicales; Caricaceae. The record is from RNAcentral.
GAAAUAAAGUCAGCUAUAUCUCUUUUCAUUCCGUUCCACCAAAAUCAGGGUUGUAUACUUUGGUAUAUUUUAGUGCUUCUGAGAUGCAUGGCAAGCUUUAAGCUAUGGGCCUCGGUCAUGAUGUCUCUCUUUAACUCACUGUCACUUGGAACACACACCCUGUCCUGGAAUCUGAGCAACCCAUCGGCGAAGACUCAGAAUUCUGAGCUAACUCCCU